AACGCAUAUUGCGCUCCUCGGCAUUCCGAGGAGCAUGCCUGUUUGAUGCGCGCAUGAAAUCAACUUGUGUGCAAGAUGUCACGUCUUGCCCGCAUAGUUGCUUCUGAGCUUUUCUCGCAUCUGUGAGUAGUUCUAAGAUCGUGUCAUCACAGAAUUUGAGGGGUAGCAGCGACUUUGGGAGACGGCUCCAUUUACUUGGGUCAGCCGACGCCGAUUGCAUUUACGCCCACUCCGAAGUGAUAAUAUUGAGUUCAAUUUUUGAACACUCUUUGUUACGCGGAUUGGUCGCCAUCGAGCGCCGUUGGACAUCAGGUUGGAACAGUCGAGCAAGUUGAACGCAUCCCAGUGAAGCUAAUGUAUUUUAGCAUCGUCAAAAUCUGCAUCAAAUCAGGUAGGGUUACCCGCUGAACUUAA
RNAcentral lists this unclassified non-coding RNA (414 nucleotides) under uncultured fungus. RNAcentral describes it as "partial contains 5.8S ribosomal RNA, internal transcribed spacer 2, and large subunit ribosomal RNA". Lineage: Eukaryota; Fungi. The record is from RNAcentral.